GAUGAACGCUGGCGGCGUGCCUAAUACAUGCAAGUCGAGCGAACGGACGAGAAGCUUGCUUCUCUGAUGUUAGCGGCGGACGGGUGAGUAACACGUGGAUAACCUACCUAUAAGACUGGGAUAACUUCGGGAAACCGGAGCUAAUACCGGAUAAUAUUUUGAACCGCAUGGUUCAAAAGUGAAAGACGGUCUUGCUGUCACUUAUAGAUGGAUCCGCGCUGCAUUAGCUAGUUGGUAAGGUAACGGCUUACCAAGGCAACGAUGCAUAGCCGACCUGAGAGGGUGAUCGGCCACCCUGGAACUGGAACACGGUCCAGAGUCCUACGGGAGGCAGCAGUAGGGAAUCUUCCGCAAUGGGCGAAAGCCUGACGGAGCAACGCCGCGUGAGUGAUGAAGGUCUUCGGAUCGUAAAACUCUGUUAUUAGGGAAGAACAUAUGUGUAAGUAACUGUGCACAUCUUGACGGUACCUAAUCAGAAAGCCACGGCUAACUACGUG
Molecule: ribosomal RNA, 497 nt
Filed under: uncultured bacterium
Lineage: Bacteria
Description: partial 16S ribosomal RNA
Rfam family: Bacterial small subunit ribosomal RNA
Source: RNAcentral